This 164-nucleotide small nuclear RNA is filed under the name Salvator merianae (Argentine black and white tegu). Its description in RNAcentral is "U1 spliceosomal RNA (ENSSMRG00000020716.1)". It matches the Rfam family "U1 spliceosomal RNA". Rfam says of the family: U1 is a small nuclear RNA (snRNA) component of the spliceosome (involved in pre-mRNA splicing). Lineage: Eukaryota; Metazoa; Chordata; Lepidosauria; Squamata; Teiidae. The record is from Rfam by way of RNAcentral.
AUACUUGCCUGGCAGGGGAGACACCACGAUCAUGAAGGUGGUUUUUCCAGAGGGAGGCUCAUCCACUGCACUCUGGGUGUGCUAACCCCUGUGAUUUCCCCCAAUGCGCGAAACUCGACUGCAUAAUUUGUGCUAGUGGGGGACUACAUUCACGCUUUCCCCUG